UUUUAUGGAGAGUUUGAUCCUGGCUCAGGACGAACGCUGGCGGCGUGCCUAACACAUGCAAGUCGAACGGUUCUCGAGGUUCGACAUUCGAGGUUCGAAGUUCGAGUGAACGCAAGCCUUUGGGGUCCUUGACCCGAAAGGAAUGCUUGAAUCGAACCACGAAUUUCGAACGUCGAACUUCGAGGAUAGUGGCGGACGGGUGAGUAACGCGUGGAUAACCUGCCUGGUAGACCGGGAUAACAGCUGGAAACGGCUGCUAAUACCGGAUACGCUCGGGAGUUAGCAUGAACACUCGAGGAAAGCUUUCGUGCUAUCAGAUGGGUCCGCGUCCCAUUAGCUAGUUGGUGGUGUAAAGGACCACCAAGGCGACGAUGGGUAGCCGGCCUGAGAGGGCGACCGGCCACACUGGGACUGAGACACGGCCCAGACUCCUACGGGAGGCAGCAGUGGGGAAUCUUCCGCAAUGGGCGAAAGCCUGACGGAGCAACGCCGCGUGAGGGAAGAAGGCCUUCGGGUUGUAAACCUCUGUUUUUAGGGACGAAAAAGAUGACGGUACCUAAAGAGUAAGCUCCGGCUAACUACGUGCCAGCAGCCGCGGUAAUACGUAGGGAGCGAGCGUUGUCCGGAAUUACUGGGCGUAAAGGGCGCGUAGGUGGUCCAUUAAGUUACUGGUGAAAGUUCGGGGCUUAACCCCGUGAUUGCCUGUAAUACUGGUGGACUUGAGUGCAGGAGAGGGGAGUGGAAUUCCCAGUGUAGCGGUGAAAUGCGUAGAUAUUGGGAGGAACACCAGUGGCGAAGGCGGCUCUCUGGACUGUAACUGACACUGAGGCGCGAAAGCGUGGGGAGCAAACAGGAUUAGAUACCCUGGUAGUCCACGCCGUAAACGAUGAGUGCUAGGUGUUGCGGGUAUCGACCCCUGCAGUGCCGUAGUUAACACAAUAAGCACUCCGCCUGGGGAGUACGGUCGCAAGACUGAAACUCAAAGGAAUUGACGGGGGCCCGCACAAGCGGUGGAGUAUGUGGUUUAAUUCGACGCAACGCGAAGAACCUUACCAGGGCUUGACAUCCUCUGAAAAGUAUAGAGAUAUACUCCUUAUCCUUCGGGAUAACAGAGAGACAGGUGGUGCAUGGUUGUCGUCAGCUCGUGUCGUGAGAUGUUGGGUUAAGUCCCGCAACGAGCGCAACCCCUAACAUUAGUUGCCAGCGAGAUAGGUCGGGAACUCUAAUGUGACUGCCGUUGACAAAACGGAGGAAGGUGAGGAUGACGUCAAAUCAUCAUGCCCCUUAUGUCCUGGGCUACACACGUACUACAAUGGCCGGUACAGACGGAGGCGAAGCUGUGAAGCGGAGCAAACCUGAGAAAGCCGGUCCCAGUUCGGAUUGUAGUCUGCAACUCGACUACAUGAAGUCGGAAUCGCUAGUAAUCGCAGGUCAGCAUACUGCGGUGAAUACGUUCCCGGGCCUUGUACACACCGCCCGUCACACCACGAAAGCUGACAACACCCGAAGCCGGUGACUUAACCGCAAGGAGAGAGCCGUCGAAGGUGGGGUUGGUGAUUGGGGUGAAGUCGUAACAAGGUAGCCGUAUCGGAAGGUGCGGCUGGAUCACCUCCUUUCUAAGGA
This 1623-nucleotide ribosomal RNA is filed under the name Desulforamulus ferrireducens. Its description in RNAcentral is "bacterial SSU rRNA". It matches the Rfam family "Bacterial small subunit ribosomal RNA". The record is from RNAcentral. Lineage: Bacteria; Bacillati; Bacillota; Clostridia; Eubacteriales; Peptococcaceae.